AGAUUCAGCCAGAGGAUCAGAAGAGAAAUAAACAGCACGGUGUAUUUCAGCAUUUUUGUGGUGUUCUCGGAGCGCAAAUUUUCGGUCUGUCUUUGGUAUUCAAUCACAGCUCACCCUAUUUGUCUGAUAAGCUGUUCGCUUUCAUCCUACUCGGGUUAGCUGAUGACUCAAUAGGGGCAGCUGUAACACCCCAAAAUUUGUCCUCCUUAUUCACGCAUUCAUUUUUAGGUCAUUUAACAUUAGAUACAUUGCAUUUCAUCAUGUCAAUCAGAAUCAGAUCCAAGAAGCUUUAUUUAAAAAUAAAAAAUAAAAAUAAAUAAAUAAAUAAAUAAAAGAAAAAAUCUCAGACUUGGACCUCUCUCAAAAGCCCACUAAGCUACCAAUAUUAGCCUAUAAAUACUAGAGUUUCAUUGAA
RNAcentral lists this long non-coding RNA (415 nucleotides) under Lathyrus oleraceus (garden pea). Its description in RNAcentral is "Pisum sativum (pea) long non-coding RNA (PSAT_LNC008174)". Lineage: Eukaryota; Viridiplantae; Streptophyta; Magnoliopsida; Fabales; Fabaceae. The record is from RNAcentral.